This 480-nucleotide ribosomal RNA is filed under the name Triticum aestivum (bread wheat). RNAcentral's name for it is "partial small subunit ribosomal RNA". Lineage: Eukaryota; Viridiplantae; Streptophyta; Magnoliopsida; Poales; Poaceae. The record is from RNAcentral.
AUGGAUGUAGAUCAAAGAGUUCAAUGGAUGAAAGAAAAUUCUAAGGAGACAUAUGAGGAAGCAAAAGAAUCUAAUAAGUAUUGUUUUCUUGAGCAGAACUUCAACAGCGAAGAACUGAAGAAGGAAUUCGACGACAUUGACAACCUUAGUGAAAAGAGACUAGAGGAGCUUCUGGAUCUAUUCCUAGAAGAUUUCAAGGCCAACUUGAUAGAGGCACAUGGGUGGCCCACCGGUGGCUCGUCGGCCUACAAAGUCGCCAAAGCUGCCCUGAAUGCAUACACGAGGAUCCUUGCCAAGACGUUCCCUCCGAUGCGCAUCAACUGUUUGACGCCUGGUUUUGUCAAGAGUGACAUGUCGAUGCACAUGGGGGUGUUGACGCCUGAGGAGGGCGCUAGCAACCUGGUUAAGGUCGCUCUCUUGCCCGACGAUGGCCCGACGGGUGCUUAUUUUGAUAGGGACGGCGUGGCGUCGUUUGUGUGA